UAAUACGUAGGAGGCUAGCGUUAUCCGGAUUUACUGGGCGUAAAGAGGGCGUAGGCGGCUUUUCAAGUCGGAUGUAAAAUCUCCCGGCUUAACUGGGAGGGAUCAUCCGGUACUGUUGGGCUAGAGGGCAGCAGAGGGAGGCGGAAUUCCCGGUGUAGUGGUGAAAUGCAUAGAUAUCGGGAGGAACACCAGUGGCGAAGGCGGCCUCCUGGGCUGUUCCUGACGCUGAGGCCCGAAAGCGUGGGGAGCGAACAGGAUUAGAUACCCUGGUAGUCCACGCCAUAAACGAUGGACACUAGGUAUGGGGAGUAUCGACCCUCUCUGUGCCGAAGUUAACGCAUUAAGUGUCCCGCCUGGGGAUUACGGCCGCAAGGCUA
RNAcentral lists this ribosomal RNA (377 nucleotides) under uncultured bacterium. RNAcentral describes it as "bacterial SSU rRNA". It matches the Rfam family "Bacterial small subunit ribosomal RNA", at positions 521 to 896 of the family's 1533-position model. The record is from RNAcentral.